AAUCUUCCACAAUGGACGAAAGUCUGAUGGAGCAAUGCCGCGUGAGUGAAGAAGGGUNNNGGCUCNUCAAACUCUGUUGUUAANGACNAACACUCUUGAGAGUAACUGUUCAGGAGUUGACGGUAUUUAACCAGAAAGCCACGGCUAACUACGUGCCAGCAGCCGCGGUAAUACGUAGGUGGCAAGCGUUGUCCGGAUUUAUUGGGCGUAAAGCGAGCGCAGGCGGUUUUUUAAGUCUGAUGUGAAAGCCUUCGGCUUAACCGGAGAAGUGCAUCGGAAACUGGGAGACUUGAGUGCAGAAGAGGACAGUGGAACUCCAUGUGUAGCGGUGGAAUGCGUAGAUAUAUGGAAGAACACCAGUGGCGAAGGCGGCUGUCUAGUCUGUAACUGACGCUGAGGCUCGAAAGCAUGGGUAGCAAACA
Molecule: ribosomal RNA, 422 nt
Filed under: uncultured bacterium
Lineage: Bacteria
Description: partial 16S ribosomal RNA
Rfam family: Bacterial small subunit ribosomal RNA
Source: RNAcentral